UGAUUCUAUAACUCUCUAAUGCGUCUGUCUCUCUCUUUCUCUCUCACGCCUCUGCCCUCUGUCUUUCUGUCUCUUCCCCUAAUUUCAGCCUCUAGGGUUUUCUCUGUCGAUGCUUACCAUGGUGGUCCUCCGACAUGGGUUUUUGCUGUGUUACUGGCUGCUGCUACUGUUGCAUGCUGGCUGGCUUGUUGUGUGCAUAUGCUGGCUGCCAACUGUUGCUUGCUGCUGAUUACCUGAUGUUUGAUGGUGCUUUGGUCUCAUGCUGAUUACCUGAUUUUUGCUACUUGAAUUGAUUUUUGCUUUCAUUCUUUAUAAAAAGGAGUGAGUAACGAUGUCUCAGAUAGGAGGAGCAAACUUGUUAGUGAUCUGAAUGACCUAAGUGGAGAGGGAAAUAUUGAAAGUAUGCUUUCAUUGAAACCGGGGGGAACUAGCUUCCUUGAAGGUCGAGGAUGCUGUUAUGCUUGCAUUUGCUCAACGUCAACGUCAACGUCCAAAUUUGGUUCGACAAUUCUUCUCAGAUCCAAAUCAUCCGGUGAUCCCAAGUUUGUGGAGGCAUAUGAACUAAGUUCAGAGGAAUCGAAAGAUGUUCUUUUCAAGCAGGUCUGCUUCUUGUUUCUCUAAAUUAGUUAGUUUUGUCAUGCUCGUGGCCUUUUUGAUGAUGUAUCUACCAUGCUUAUACUAUUUUGCGUGCUGGAUUGUUGAUUAAGUAAAUCUCAGGAACAAUGUGUGGGGCAUCCUCAGGCUUUUCUAACUUGGAAGCAUCUUUGAAGUUUUCCACCACCUUUUUUUCCUCACUUAGAAAAUUGAAAAAUAAAAGGGUGAACACUAUCAUCCAUAAUGUCAUUUGCAACAGCAAGGUGGAGACUAAUCUAGUUGCCUAUUGGUCAAUGGUGGUACAAGAGUUGUAUUUUUAUUCCAAAUUUAUAGGUUCUAACUAAAAUUUUAACCUCGUGACUGACUAAUAUGAACUUUCCACAAAACAUCAUCCUAAGGUAAUGUUUGGUUGAUUGGAAUGAAUGUGGAUUGGAGGCACUCUUGAGAUGCAAAAGUUGUUAUGGUGUCAUUUUGGGUCACAAAUUAUUGUUCUUGACAUCUUGUUUAUAUCGAGGUAUAUAUAUAUAUAUCUAAUAUAAGAACAUGGACACAUUGGAGGCCCUCUUGAGAUGCUCUUGCUUCUGAUUUCACCCUGCCCCACUAAAUAUUUUUGUUUCCACCCAAGCCUCAUCCUAACCAUAUUGAUAUAAUUGUUCAUCCUAAUUUGUUAUAUAUCAUUCUCCAAUGGAGAGAAGACAACAGUUGAGAGUGUUGCAGAUGCCAUUUUUGAGAAUUGAGCCGAGUUGGUGCAUCUUCCUUCCACCAUGGAUCUUCAUGUGCCACUGCCAUCCAACGACUGCCCAAGUUGUGAUGGAUCGGUAAGAGCUAUUCUGGAAUCAUUGAAGCACAUAAAAUUAAGUUGCCAUAUUUUCCCAACCCUCCUAGUAAUAGUUAUUGGUGCUUCAUUCUGAACACUAUUGAAACAUUCUCGUGCACUGAAUUUUUAUUUUUUAUUUUUUAUUUUUAUGACAAUCUAUUGCAGUGGGUGAAUAGUAUUAAGUUCCCAAUCUUAUAGUCCUCAUUUUAUCUAGCUUAGAUUGCAUUUCAAUCUUGCCAUGUCUUUUUGUGUGGGAUAUAUCUAAAAGUUGUCGAUACAUAUUUGAUGGUAGUGCUUGACUUUGUUCAUAUUUCUUUUAAUUUAUUUUCAUAUCUAUUAACUUUUGCUUUAGACUAACUUGUACAUUUCGAUGAUGUCGGAGCAUUAAGUUCGAUUUUUGUAUUAUUAAUGUUGCAAGGUGUGAUGAAAUGUACUGAAUGCAAAAGAUAAAUUACAAAUAAGGAUUUCAGCGGAUGAUGUGAGUCUUUGCCAUUUGAUUGAUUCUUUAGUUGAUUCACUACUUGUGCAUUCAAAUGUGGCCAACUUGUCCCGACACUAGCACACUAUUUGAACUUCUGUGCCUUAAGUAUGUGAAACUAGUACACAUAUGAAACUGCAUAGUACACAUAUGAAACUGCUACAUUGCUUGUCAACUUUGGAACUUAAUCACAUGGAAUUUUUUCUCUGUUCCGUUCCUCAUAUUGCUUCUAUUGAUAUUUUAUCAUAUAAGUAGAUUCAUAGAGGACUUGAAAUGCCUAAAUUUUUACAAUAGGCAUUUUAUAUGCCCUUCUUUUUGUUCAUCUCCUUGAUAAUCUAAAUGUCAUUAGAAUUGUGCAUUUAUUUCUUCAAUAAUUGUGUAGGUUUUAAUUAGAAAUUUCAUUAUUUAUUGUUUAUUUGAUGAUCAUUGUAACAUUUUUCAUCAUUAAAUUUCUUUCACUCCUCAAAAAACCAAGAAAGAAAAAAAAAAUGCUGCUUACAUGUGAUGUUCUGUCAAAAAGAAAGGUCAUUAAUGAGACUGUUUUGGUUUUGUGCUGUUCUUGAAUGAGUUAAGUGGGUUCUCUUCCUGAUUCUAUUUCUUCAUUAUUAUUUAAAGGGUGGCUUGAUUUUAAUUAUUUCGAUUGGGAAAUGAUUAUUAGGGAAACUUUGCCUAGUGGGCUAUGUGGAAAAUCAGGAAUGAAGGUAGGUAGGUAUAUGUACCCUUAUUUUAAUAUACCUAAUUACGAGGAUGUAAUUGAUUCCAUUUAAAGUUAGAACAUCAGUUUUAUGGGGUGAAGGAAAAGUCUCAGUUUACAAAAUUUUUAGUUAGUGAGUUUUAUGUAUAAUUUAAGAGGAAUUAAGCGAGUUGGUAAGUGAGUAUGUUUCUAGUUCAAAUCUUAUUCUAUUUGCUUAUUGGUCGAUGGUGUGACUAUUAAAUCUCAAAUUUAUUAUAUGAAAUGCGUUUAGAUGAGUUCUUGAUUUUAAAAAAGAAAAGAAAACUUAGGACUCUUUAAGUGUGUUACGUAAGGAAUUUGUUUGGGUAGUAAUUCGAUGAACGUAUCUUUGUAUACAUGUGUGUUACGUAGUGACAACAAUCUUAACUUUUUAUGUAAUGAAAGUAAUGAUUGUGUAAUCACAUCAAAUUGAGAUCAUUUAAAGAAAUAUCCAAAUCAUUAUAAAGUAAACAGUAUAUAUCAUUAGUUCAGGAUUUUCUUUUGGAUUUGUUAAUUCUAUGUGUAUUUGGUUUUAUAACUUUAAAAUAUUUGGUCACACAUUGAAGAUUUUCAUUUUGGAUUUAUUGAUUCUAUGAAUAUGUCAUUUCUGUAUGGUAAUCCAAACAUUUUAUACUAGUAACAAUCAAAGUGGUUAUUCUUUUUCUAUUG
Camellia sinensis is the source of this 3270-nucleotide long non-coding RNA. RefSeq lists it as uncharacterized. Lineage: Eukaryota; Viridiplantae; Streptophyta; Magnoliopsida; Ericales; Theaceae. The record is from RefSeq and is a predicted model, not a curated record.